GGCAUCCUGUGCCAGUAUGAGAUGCACCGUGAGUAAAAGGUCUGAGCGAGUGCAAAACCUAGAACUGCCACAUGAAAGAGGCUUCAACAUCACUGAUUUGGCAUGGAGGCUGCCAUUCUUCUCCCAUUUAGACUGCACAUUUUUUCUCAGCAGAGCACAAUUCUGGCACAAGCAAAAAACACAGGAAGAACAGACACAACAGAUGACACCCACCAAAGUCAAUAAGGAAGGAGGGGAAGAAAUUGAUGCUGGUGGGUGAGAGGAUGAGCAAGUAAAGAUCAUCAUCACCAAUCCUGGAAGACAAAGAAAAGCUCACAACAAGUGAAACAUCUUCAGUAAAACCUCUGGUAAUUUAAGGGGAAGGAGGCAUCUAACCUUGAGCAGCGUUUUCUCCCAUGUGGAAACCUUUUCAUCUUCUGUUUUUGCCCAUGUACUGUGAUGUGAAGGCCUUGAAGUGACAGUAAUUGCUGAAGAGUAAAGGAAUGGUUCAAGGGCAUUGCCAGAGAUUCAGCCCCAGGGGCUAGCAGCUUGUAACUGCUCUGGAGAUGACAUUGGGCACAUAUACAGCAAUACAGAAAGUGCUUGUUCUGCUAUGAGAAACCAGUGUAUAAAAGCCACAAACAAGUUAUUCUUGUUCCUCCUUCCACCCACACCAUCAGCCCACAGUUUGUAAGCAAAUCCACUGUGAUCAGCUGUAAUGAGUCCAGCUAUUUGUAUGAAACCAAGUUGGAAUAUGUGUUAGUUUCUUUACAAAGGAAAAUAGUUCUGGUCCUUCAACUAAAACAAAAAAUGCAUGGAAUGACCAGUCAAUAAAACAUUAAGCAUUAUUGAUUUUAGUUAUUGCUGGCAGUCCAUUUGAUGUCAUGGUUUUACAGUGCAAUCUAAUCUGUUUCCACUCAAAUAUGUGUACCAAUUGAGUUGAGUGGACUCUGUCCAAGGUAAGCAUGUAAAGGAUUGCCACCUUCAUACAGGAAAGAAAACUGUUAUGUUGCCUCUUCGGUGGCUUUAGAAACUCCUAUUUUUGUUGCUGUUUUAUUAGGCAACAUUCAUGGAAAAUAUUUGUCAAGUGAGCCCAGCUAUUUUAACUAAGGAAUGUUUUAAAACUGUCGAUACUGGCCUGGUCAGACCACUACAUACAAGCUUUGUUCCUCUGUA
Varanus komodoensis (Komodo dragon) is the source of this 1155-nucleotide long non-coding RNA. RefSeq lists it as uncharacterized. The transcript is spliced from 3 exons. The record is from RefSeq and is a predicted model, not a curated record. NCBI's taxonomy places the organism in Eukaryota, Metazoa, Chordata, Lepidosauria, Squamata, Varanidae.